CACACCAGCUCUACUUUUAAAAACUUUAUUGUGAAAAAGUGUGUCAUGUUACCCCAGCAGCAGCCUAAAUCCACUGUUAAUGUUGCCAGUAAGAGGUCAAGUUGAGUGACUGACUUGGACACAAAAUUUAAAAUGAUUAAGGGCGAUGAAGUGAUUACUCACCAGUCAGACAUGUCCCAUUCCACCAUAGCAAUGAUCUUGAAGAACUAGAACAAGGAGAUUAACAAAAUUUCAGAAGGGCCUAUAUUAGAUAUGGAGAAACUUCUAAAGUCCUCGGUUGAAGACCUGACAGAGAAAUGUGUCCGUUUCAGCACCAUGAUGAUCAUGGCCAAAAGAAAAAUUUUGCUAUGUUGAAGAAAAGACUCACCCCAACUACUAUGUUGAAUUUACUUCCAGCUCUGA
This 402-nucleotide long non-coding RNA is filed under the name Homo sapiens (human). RNAcentral describes it as "non-protein coding lnc-PCDH20-12:2". Lineage: Eukaryota; Metazoa; Chordata; Mammalia; Primates; Hominidae. The record is from RNAcentral.